CUAUCAAUAAUAAAGAAUUAAUUAUUUUUAUUCUUAUCUUUUCAUAACAUGAGGAAGAUUAACAGAAUAUACCAUAAAGUAAAUUUUUUAUAAAUUUUAUGAGUAAGAAUAUAUCCGUUGGGGACCCCGAAAAGAUUGCGAACUAUGGGGUGGCCAGAUCGAAGCCAGAAGAAAUUCUGGUGGAAGAUCGACCUUGGUGCUGACGUGCAAAUCGCUCAUCCGAGCUGCCUAUAGGGGCGAAAGACUAAUCGAGCAAUCUAGUAGCUGGUUUCCUCCGAAGUUUCCCCCAGGAUCGCAGAAUAUUGAAUUUAGUUCAACCAGGUAAAGCGAAUGAUUAGAGGUUACUGGAAAGAAACUUUCUGUACCUAUUCUCAAACUAUUAAUAGGUUGAUAUUAUCUUUUUAUUCUUUCAUUGAUGAGAAGAUAAAAAUAAAAAUAUUCAAGUGGGCC
Molecule: ribosomal RNA, 450 nt
Filed under: uncultured eukaryote
Lineage: Eukaryota
Description: eukaryotic LSU rRNA
Rfam family: Eukaryotic large subunit ribosomal RNA
Source: RNAcentral